RNAcentral lists this ribosomal RNA (253 nucleotides) under uncultured bacterium. RNAcentral's name for it is "partial 16S ribosomal RNA". It matches the Rfam family "Bacterial small subunit ribosomal RNA", at positions 524 to 776 of the family's 1533-position model. The record is from RNAcentral.
UACGGAGGGUGCAAGCGUUGUCCGGAUUUAUUGGGUUUAAAGGGAGCGUAGGCGGUCUUUUAAGUCAGUGGUGAAAUCCUCCAGCUUAACUGGAGAACUGCCAUUGAUACUGAAAGACUUGAGUACAGACGAGGUAGGCGGAACUGCGAGUGUAGAGGUGAAAUUCGUAGAUAUUCGCAAGAACACCAGUGGCGAAGGCGGCCGACUGGUCCGGUUCUGACGCUGAGGCGCGAAAGCGUGGGGAGCAAACAGG